UCAUAUCUCAAGAAAAGUAUCUUCUCAGGUCUCUUUAUGCUCUCUUUCCAAUAACUUAAAACAUGAUCAUGGAAUAGCCCAAAGGCAUGAACCCCUUGUAAAAGCUCUCGAAUGAUUCAUUCAUCGACCAUGGAUCUUUUCCCUUAGCAGCAAUCAAAGAGUUCAAAAAGUGCCACAAUGACACAAACGUGUCCUUAGGUUAUCGGGUAAUAUACACAAUCUUGCAAGCUGAGUUUUUAACAGAUUGGGGUAGCAUAGGAUAAGGGACAUGGGUUUGAAACAAUCUUGGAGAAGGCAUAUAUGAGAGAUCAGGAUUGGGAUUUUCCUUGAAAAUCUGAACUUCCAGAGAUAGCUUCAGCUUAUUAGGACUAUGUUUGAGCAAAGGGUCAUCGCUAUCAUCAUUUGUUCGACCAAUGGGAUUCUUUAUUGUUAGGAUGAUAGCUUUGAGCCAUGUGGUGCAUGACUUCAUAGAAGAAGUCAAAAUUACAUCAGAGUCGUCUGCUUAGAAGUUUGACCUGGCAGCCAUUGCAGCAAUAAGGUGAGAACUGGUAUACCAGAAGCUUUCCCAGUUGGAAAGAUCAGUACGACACCAUUUUUCUUUCGGGAGCUUAUUUAGCAAACUAGAAAAUGAAAAUGGAAAGCUAGAGUACUCCAUGUUAUAGUAUCUAAUACACGUGAUUAAUGUGUAAUUAGCUAAGUGGUUAGGUCGUUACAAAAGCUGGUAUUUUGUUACUAGCAGUUUAGGAUUCCUUUUCUUCUCUAUAUAAGUAUGUAUUUUGAACAGAUUAAAAUGAGUUAGAAUCGUUACCUUGAGAGUAUUACUUUAUCUCUUUUAUAACUUAAAUCAUUGUUCAUCUAGUAUUCUAUCAUAGUAUCAGUCGCUCGGUGAUUUUCGGGCAUGGUUACCACGCACUCUGCUGAUUCCGAUUUUGUUGAGCCUCAUGGCUCGGUAUUUCUUGGUGAUCGUCUGGUCACCUCAUUUCCUCGACAUGAGGUUGUUAAACUGGAUGAAGGUUCGUUCGUGCAUUGGCAGCAGCAGGUCUGGCUUAUUCUCCGUGGCUACCAUCUGUUUGGAUUUCUUGAUGGCUCAUUGACGGUUUCGGCGCGUUUUAUUCAAUCCUCCGAUGGAGGUCUUGUUGUUAAUCCAGCUAUUUCGAUCUUUGAUCAGCAAGAUAGUUUACUUACCUCUUGGCUGUUAUCUACGAUCAGCUCUUCAUUCUUGUCCUCUUUCACGGAUGUUCGCACUGCUCAUGACGUCUGGAUCGUGGUGAACAACUUGUUUGUGGCCGAUUCGAGCACGAAACAGUCUCAGUUGCGUCAUGAGCUUCACUCCAUUCGAAAAGGUAGCCUCUUUAUUCGAGCCUAUGUAAAUAAAAUUACCAGUCUGUGUGCUCUGCUUGCAGCUUCUGAAACUCAAAUCUCAGAGGCCGAACGAAUGGUGGUUCUUCUUGCUGGUCUCUCUUCGAAUUUUAAUGCUAUUGUUUCGUCCGCGUCUCUCUUCUCAAGACCAUUACUGUUUCAACGCAUCGUUGAUGUUUUGCUUGAGUACGAAGCUCGACACGGUCGGACUGCACAAGAAGUGUUGAUCGCUGCCAAUAUGGUGGAGGGGCCGCAACUUCAGUCGACGGAUGGCCCAUUUUGUGGAGGAGGGCGUUCCUCUGGUCGUGGUCGCAGUCAUUCUUUCCAUCCACGGAUCCAGUGUCAGAUUUGCAGCCGAUAUGGUCAUCUUGCGCAGAGGUGCUACUACAGGUACGAUCGUGACGAUCAAUCGCCGACUGAUGCUCUGUUGGUUCGACAAGGUGGUUUUGCGUCUGGCUUGUUUGGGAGAGAUGAUGACCGAAUAAGAGAGAAUGGCUUUGGUCAAAAUUUAGGGAAUUAUGGUCAAAAUUGGAGGCCCUCUGUUUGGCAAAAUUAUGGAAUGACAAAUAGUGUCCCACGUGGGCCACAUGCAGGGACUAGGAAUAAUGGAUCCAAUCCAUUUGUUAAACAUGAAAAUGGGCAGCAUAUUCAUGAUGACCCAAAUCCAUAUGAUAAUGGGCGCGACUUUAGUGAUAUGGGCUAUAAAUUUUGUAAUGACUCCUUGAGCAAUGCGUAUGGUAAGAUGGUUACUACGUCACGUAGGCCUAGUGGGUCGAUUCGAUCCCGUACACUUGAUGGUCAAUUUGUGCCUGAGCCCUCUACUAAUUGUGUUGAUGUUGAUAGAUCUUGGCAGACUGUUCAUGAGGCUCUGUGGCGAACAAAACCACGUGCUCGUGUGUUUAGUGUUGCCACGUCUCCUUAUGACUCGUCCCAGUUUGUUGGGCUUCCCCUCCGACUUCCUAAGUUGCACGCAUCGAAUUAUUUUGAUGCUUCCGCAUAUGACUCAAAUUUUAAUUCUACUGACUCCUAUGUUCCGUUACCGGUAGGAAGCACGUCCUGGUGUCCAGACUCGGGGGUUACUCAUCAUGUCUACAAGAAUGCUUCAGAUUUACAUGGCUCCACUCCUUAUACAGGUACUUCUUCUCUCUUAAUGGGUAAUGGGGUCUCUACCACAAUAUCAUCCACUAGGAGUAUAGAAUUUCCUAGAAAGAUGAAAUUGCUCCAUCUCUCGAAUGUGCUAUGUGUGCCGAGUAUUCAAAAAAAAAUAUUAUCUGUGUCUAAGUUUGCUUCUGACAACAAUGUGUUUUUUGAGUUUCACCCUUCGUAUUAUGUGAUUAAGGACAUCCAGACACAGGGAAUCUUAAUAGGGGGCCAAGUUAUUAAUGGGCUCUAUCAGUUCUCAGCAGGUUCGAGUGUUUUGUCUCUAUCUGUUAAUAAUACGGUUGUUCAAUGUUCUUCUAUAGCUGAUGAUGUUUUUGGUUUGUGGCAUAAAAGGCUGGGACAUCCUGCUUCUAAUACUGUAGAAGCUGUUCUAGACAAAUGUCGUAUUACUGUAAAUAAAAGUCAUCUUGAUAAUAUUUGUGUUGUCUGUCAAAAAGGAAAAUCUCAUAAGUUGCGUUUUUCUCGUUCUAAUAGUGAGUAUGUUGAUUUGUUUGAAUUGGUUGUUUCUGAUUUGUGGGGCCCAGAUACUGUUCCUUGUAAAGGAAAUUUGUAUUAUGUUUCUUUCAUUGACAUGAGUAGUCGAUUUACCUAGGUAUAUCUAAUAAGUCGCAAAUCUCAAGCAGUGGAGUGUUUUGGUUAAUUUUAAAAAAUGGUUCUCACUCAGUUCGGGAAGUGUAUUAAGAAAUUUCAAAGUGAUUGGGGUGGUGAGUUUUGGGCUUUCUCGUCUGUUCUUGCUAGUCAGGGGAUACUUCAUCGAGUUUCCUGCCCUCACACUUCUGAACAAAAUAGUGUAGCUGAACGUAAGCACAGAUAUAUUGUGGAGACUGGUCUUACUCUUUUGGCUCAGGCUAAUUUACCAAUAAAGUACUAGGGCUAUGCUUUUUGUAGUGCCGUUUAUCUUAUUAAUUGGUUGCCCACUCCUGUCUUGAAUGGACGGUCUCGUAUCAAAGUUUGUUUGGUCGUGAACCAACUUAUGAUCAUUUUAGAGUGUUUGGUUGAUGUUGUUUUCCAUAUUUACGUUUGUUUGUUAAACACAAGCUUGAAUUUCGGUCCCAACCAUUUACGUUUCUAGGGUAUAGUGCGCAUCUUAAAGGUUAUUUUUGUCUAACACCUGAUGGUAAGGUUCUUGUUUCUAGGCAUGUUGUGUUUGAUGAAAAUCGGUGCCAGUGAUCAGACGUCUUUAAGUAAUACUAUGUAUGUUCCUGUAGUUCACUCGUUUUCCACUAAGGACACUAGUUUGCCUUCUGCUCCUACAACUGGGGUUUCUCUAGGAAGUCCUAAUAGUGAGCCUGAUCUGCGUGGUUCUUUUGCUACAUGUGGUGCUUCUCGUCAUAGGUCUGUCAAUUUGUUAGAUGAAUCAGGCACUAUUGUCCGAGAGGAGGUUGUCUCUACUUCAGUAAUUCCUGCUGAGCCUGUUCCUAUUCCUCUUGGUUCUACUACUAAUACUCAUGGCAUGGUUAUUCGAUCUAAGGCUGGUAUCUUUAAACCCAAAGCUUUGUGUGCAGACAAUGUUGCGGUUGAGCCAAGUUCUGUUGAAGAGGCUCUUGCUCAUCCAGACUGGCGAUUAGUUGUUCAAGCUGAAUAUGAUGCAUUAAUAGCUAACUCUACAUGGGAGCUCUGUUCCUCCUGGUCGAAAGGCGAUUGGUUGCAAGUGGUUGUUUAAAAUAAAGAAGAAUCUUGAUGGAACAAUAAAUCACCGAAAGGCACAAUUAGUAGCCAAGGGCUGUUCACAGGUGCCUGGCUGUGAUUUUAAAGAGACAUUCAGUCCAAUAGUCAAAGCUGCUACUAUUCGAGUCAUUCUUUCUGUUGCCGUGACCAAGGGUUGGCCACUUCGGCAAGUUGAUGUAAAUAACGCCUCUCUGAAUGGUGAUCUAACUGAUGACGUGUUUAUGCAGCAGCCUCUAGGUUUUGUGCAACAUGGUUCAAGUGGUGAAAAGCUGGUGUGUCAUCUGAUUAAAGCUUUAUAUGGAUUACGGCAAGCUCCUCGUGCUUGGUUUGACAAAUUAAAACAGUUUCUUGUUUCUAUUGGUUUUGCGGUGUCAAAAUCGGAUGCCUCAUUGUUUGCUCGGUCUUCCUCUGAUUUCACUCUAUAUGUGCUUGUCUAUGUGGAUGAUAUUGUUAUUACUGGCAGUUCAUCUGAUGAAAUAAAUUGUUUUGUCCAAUAGCUACACAGCAAGUUCACUUUAAAGGAUAUGGGUGAGCUUUAUUAUUUUUUGGGGAGCUUCUUGCACGAUGUUCUGUGUCUACUGUCAAAAGUGUUCAUACACCAAUGGUCAGCUCUUCCAUGUUAUCAAAGGAUAAGGGUGAGUGUCUUGCUGAUCCCACUGGAUAUCGUAGCCUUGCCGGUGCUCUUCAGUAUAUUGUGUUAACCCGGCCUAAUAUUGCCUAUGCGGUUAAUAGGGUGUGUCAGUUUAUGCAUGCUCCCACUAAUAUACACAUGGUAGCGUUAAAAAGCAUUCUUCGGUAUUUACGUGGUACUCUUUCCUAUGGAUUACUUUUUCGGCAAUCUGAACGACUUUCAUUGGUCGGUUAUGCCGAUGGAAAUUGGAGGCUUGAUUUUGAUGAUCGUCGGUCUACUACGGGAUACUGUGUGUACUUUGGUCAUAUACUAUAUUUUGGUGUUCCAAGAAACAACAAGUUGUUUCUCGCUCUACGGCGGAGGCUGAAUACCGUAGCUUAGCAGCUGCCACUAGUGAUGUUGCUUGGCUGGUGUCUCUCUUGACAGAGUUAAAACUAGGUUCAGUUGAUCCUCCGACAGUGUGGUGUGAUAAUUCUAGUGUAGUCGUUGUUGCAGCUAAUCCAAUUAUACACUCCAAGUUUAAACAUGUUGAACUUGAUUCGUUUUUUGUCCGGGAAAAGGUGGCUAGUGGCGAGUUGAUUGUUGGCGAAGUUCUUGCCUGUGACCAAGUGGCCGAUAUUCUCACUAAACCAUUGGCUGUGUUAAUCUUUACUCAGUUUCGUCAUUUUCUUCGGGUCGUCCCACUUGAGGAAGUUGGAUGAAUGUUAUAGUAUCUAAUACACAUGUGAUUAAUGUGUAAUUAGCUAAGUGGUUAGGUAGUUACAAAAGCUGGUAUUUUGUUACUAGUAGUUUAGGCUUCCUUCUCUUCUCUAUAUAAGCAUGUAUUUUGAACAAAUUAAAAUGAGUUAGAAUCGUUACCUUGAGAG
This 5685-nucleotide long non-coding RNA is filed under the name Gossypium barbadense (sea-island cotton). RNAcentral's name for it is "long non-coding RNA (GBAR_LNC000116)". The record is from RNAcentral. Lineage: Eukaryota; Viridiplantae; Streptophyta; Magnoliopsida; Malvales; Malvaceae.